RNAcentral lists this non-coding RNA (24 nucleotides) under Arabidopsis thaliana (thale cress). The record is from RNAcentral. Lineage: Eukaryota; Viridiplantae; Streptophyta; Magnoliopsida; Brassicales; Brassicaceae.
AGAUACGAGGACAUGUACUAUCAC